CCAGCAGCCGCGGUAAUUCCAGCUCCGCAAGUGUAUUCCUAUACUGUUGCGUUUAAAUAGCUCGUAGUUGGAUCUGCGUGUUUAGCGCGCGGUGCCGCUUAUGGCGGUAACUGUGACGCGACACAGAGAUGCUUGUCGUCGCGAUGCUCUCGCGGGUGUCGUGAACGCGAGCAAAGUUUACUUUGAACAAAUCAGAGUGCUCAAAACGGGCGUUUCGCUCGAAUGUUCUUGCAUGGAAUAAUGGAAUAGGACCGCGCGUUCUAUUUUGUUGGUUUUCGGGACGCGGGUAAUGAUUAAGAGGGACAGACGGGGGCAUUUGUACUGCGACGUGAGAGGUGAAAUUCUUGGAUCGUCGCAAGACAGACUACUGCGAAAGCAUUUGCCAAGAAU
This 390-nucleotide ribosomal RNA is filed under the name uncultured eukaryote. Its description in RNAcentral is "SSU rRNA". It matches the Rfam family "Eukaryotic small subunit ribosomal RNA", at positions 567 to 965 of the family's 1831-position model. The record is from RNAcentral.